CCUACGGUGUGCUGCAGUGGGGAAUAUUGGACAAUGGGCGAAAGCCUGAUCCAGCCAUGCCGCGUGUGUGAAGAAGGCCUUCGGGUUGUAAAGCACUUUCAGUGGGGAAGAAAGCCUUGGGGCUAAUACCCUCGAGGAAGGACAUCACCCACAGAAGAAGCACCGGCUAACUCCGUGCCAGCAGCCGCGGUAAUACGGAGGGUGCGAGCGUUAAUCGGAAUUACUGGGCGUAAAGCGCGCGUAGGCGGUCUGAUAAGCCGGUUGUGAAAGCCCCGGGCUCAACCUGGGAACGGCAUCCGGAACUGUCAGGCUAGAGUGCAGGAGAGGAAGGUAGAAUUCCCGGUGUAGCGGUGAAAUGCGUAGAGAUCGCGAGGAAUACCAGUGGCGAAGGCGGCCUUCUGGACUGACACUGACGCUGAGGUGCGAAAGCGUGGGUAGCAAACAGGAUUAGAUACCCGAGUAGUC
RNAcentral lists this ribosomal RNA (465 nucleotides) under Vreelandella stevensii. Its description in RNAcentral is "partial 16S ribosomal RNA". It matches the Rfam family "Bacterial small subunit ribosomal RNA", at positions 338 to 795 of the family's 1533-position model. Lineage: Bacteria; Pseudomonadati; Pseudomonadota; Gammaproteobacteria; Oceanospirillales; Halomonadaceae. The record is from RNAcentral.